Molecule: long non-coding RNA, 1022 nt
Organism: Cyprinus carpio carpio
Lineage: Eukaryota; Metazoa; Chordata; Actinopteri; Cypriniformes; Cyprinidae
Source: Ensembl
UGGUCGCUCCACUCGAGGUGGAACCCUGCCGACUACGCCAAAAUCUGUCACAGGUCGGAGCGGACCACAGGUGUUGCGAGUCACGCCCCUUCCCGACUUCCACCUCGAGGAGGUCCCAAGAUCACCCCAAGGACCAGACACACAAGAUGAGUUAAGGGAAUUUAAAACAACUUUAUUUAAAUUAUUUAAAAAGGUAAUCUAGGAAAGGAGAAAAGGGGAAUCUAAAACUUUGAUUUUCGUCUCUUGACAGGAGGGGACUGGGCCUGAGAACUCUGGAGGUCUUUGGUAAGUAAUCACCAGGGGAGGGGGGGGGCAAGGGCUCUUCCGUCCUUUCCCAGAACUUCCACCAGUCUCCUGACUAAUCCUAAGUCCUUCCUUAACUGCUUGAUUUCCCGUGGCGCCCUUCUCUUCUCCUGAAGGCAACAAGAACACACAAUGAGUAAUGGGUAAAACGAAGAAUGCCUGGUUCCUAGCUUCUUUGCUCUUCGGGUUGUACUUCACCAGCGUCUGGACAGCUCCUCCACUCCCAUAGACCUCCUAGGUAGAUAUAAGGUAACACCCAAAUCCCUGAGGGCACAGGUAAGGAACAACGGUAAGGAUGUAGCAAGGUAAGUAUUCAACAAGUAACUGUAUCUUCACGCUGGGCUUUACAGGGCGUAUUCAAGGGCAAUAGCUUUUAGCUCGUACAGACAGGUAAGUAUUCAACAAGUGACUGGAUCUUCACGCUGGGCUUACAGAGCGUAUUCAAGGUCAGUAGCUUUCCCCACAAUAUCCGCACAAUACCUUGUUUUGCUUUCACACUUCACCUUCGAGCUGGGUCCGGAGAACGGAGUUAUAGGCGGGCGUAGGUGGGAUAGGUGGGCACCGCCACGGCAGCCUACGUUCUUUCCAACAGGAACUUUUCUCGGCCUGGAGGGCAAGUACAGACAACAGGGAAACGGCACAGCACUGCAAAGCUUUAGUGCACACACGUCAAAGACAGACUCACCCACUGCACUACACACACUUCAGUGAUUUUUAAG